Meleagris gallopavo (turkey) is the source of this 1813-nucleotide long non-coding RNA. The record is from Ensembl. Lineage: Eukaryota; Metazoa; Chordata; Aves; Galliformes; Phasianidae.
CUGGCUGCUUCUACUGGGGUAAGAAAUGAUGAAGCAAUUUGCACUUGUAACUUUCACACUAACAUCUUAUUAAAUAGCUCACAGCCCUCAAGGACUGUUUCAGAAAGGUUAAGCAGCCUCACCAAGCACUUGUACCCAGAUCAUCAUGACAGGAAAAAAAAAAAGGUCAUACGUUUAGACUUGCAUUGCUUUGAAAAGCCGUAUCAGCUACUGCUCCAGUAUCACUGCUUCAGCUUCACAACUACAAUGGAUUGUGGAAUGGUGUGUUAAACAGGGAAAAGAGACAGGUUAAAAAUAGCCCUUUUUUCAUGAGUAGUUUAAUUAUCAGCCAUUAAUUUCCCCUUCCAGUUUGCCGUAUAUAAAUAAGACAGUAGGACAGGAGCAAGGAUCACGCUGGGAAGUAGCUCACUCUAGUCUUGUCAUUGAAAGAAACAAGCAAAUAACUGUAUUUAGAAGUCAGAGCACAAUUUGGCAUCUGAAUUUUCAAGGAAUUGGAAAUCCUGGAUGGAAGAACUCGGUUCUGGUACCUUAUUUUCAAUCUGCUGAUUUUCACCUUGUUUUUUUCACUGCUUGAAAUUCAGCUAUGUAAUUUGAUCAACUUAUUUACUCUCUCAGAAUGUGAUCAGAGGGAAAUCCAUGGGUGACUGAAGAAAUGGAAGUUCAAUUUCACAGAAAAUUCCAAUAUUAACUACCUUUAUUUUCAUUCCACAUCAUAUCCUCCUGUAGCUCAACCAGAGGGAAAGACUACAGCACUGAGGAGCCAGCUGUGUUGGAUACUUGGCUAGAUGAAUCUAAUCGACCUUGUGGGAGACAGUAGGGUCAGAAGAGAGAGAAUGGAAGAACAAGUACCAAAACUCAUGUGUCAAGACAAAGACCAUUUAAAAAGUGACAGAGAGGACAAAAAAACAAAUAUGCAAAGGUGACCACACAGAGCUCCCACAGGCAGAUCAGGGCCGAGCCAGCAAGAAAGUCCCCUUAGAUACCCCAAGUCAACACCCCCUCUUUCUUCUAAUGCAGUUUUUAUUGUUGAACAUCAUGCUGUUUGGCAUCAAAACUGAUCCCUUUGUCUGUUUUUUUUUUUAUCUGGCUGACGUCUACUGCUCUAGCCCAGUCAGACCCAGCACAGACACUUCAGUGUGUGUGUAAUGACAACAGUCUUUGAUAACUCCAUUUUGACGGCAUUGAUGAAGACAAGAAGCAGAUGUUCCAAACAGCACCACAAUGAGGAAUCCUACAGUUCUGAACUAAGGACUGCAUAACCUGUUCAACAUUGUGAAGUUUGCUGUCAUUAACUGUGCAGCAUGCAAGUCUGCUACAAGGUCAGGGGAGACUUCUACUCUUACAGUGUCUGAUCCAUCAGCUCUAAAGAAGUUUUUAUUGCUUUUUUUUUAGGGAUUAUUUGCCACCUGUAACAAUGAGUAGUCACUACCACGAAUAAGAUCAGGACUGAGCACUCAGAACCACACAAGGAACAAGUAGAGGGCUCCUGGCCCACGAUACUGCUGAUGUAUGUCAAAAUCAAAAGACAGGUCAAGGAAAGACACUAUCAGUAGUCCCUGGACAGAAUAAAUCUUGUUAGUUUUUGCUCAUAUAACAUAAUCUCACCCCAGAUAAAUACUUUCAUACAGAAAACAUUACUGAAAAAACAACAAAUAAUGCUUUUAACACUGAAUAAAGACAGUAGUGAAAAUGAAAUGUGGUGAAAAGCAGAUCGAAAUAAAAGCAUUUUAAGCUAGUGUUUUAUUUUCAUCCGAUGCAAAUUUUUUCAAUGAAAGCAUGAAAUACAGAAUAUAGAAUCUCAUUUUACCUGGGA